This 293-nucleotide long non-coding RNA is filed under the name Gossypium raimondii (Peruvian cotton). Its description in RNAcentral is "long non-coding RNA (GRAI_LNC002135)". Lineage: Eukaryota; Viridiplantae; Streptophyta; Magnoliopsida; Malvales; Malvaceae. The record is from RNAcentral.
CCAUAUAAAGAUCAUCGUGAAUUCUCAUUAAGGCCGAAUGCAUGUACAAGUACAUUCAAGGAAUCUUGAAACACAUGCCAUCAUUUUUGGUGCAUGUGACCGUUCAUAUGAAGGAGUCAAAUACAUGGAUUCAUGCAUUUGAUGUUUGGCUGAAUUCAAAGGAUCAUCCAUAUGCAUGAACGGCAAGGGGAGGAAUUUUACAUCAAAAUGGAAACAUUAAAUGUGAUCAUUCAUGAAUCUACUCAAGAGUAAUGAAUUUAUCCAUCCAUACACUUCCUAAGGGGGACGACUUG